Molecule: RNase MRP RNA, 244 nt
Filed under: Lepidothrix coronata (blue-crowned manakin)
Lineage: Eukaryota; Metazoa; Chordata; Aves; Passeriformes; Pipridae
Description: RNase MRP (ENSLCOG00000012348.1)
Rfam family: RNase MRP
About the family: RNase MRP is an enzymatically active ribonucleoprotein with two distinct roles in eukaryotes. In mitochondria it plays a direct role in the initiation of mitochondrial DNA replication. In the nucleus it is involved in precursor rRNA processing, where it cleaves the internal transcribed spacer 1 between 18S and 5.8S rRNAs.
Source: RNAcentral
ACUUGGUGUCAGUCACCUCCUUGGUUCCUCACGGGCCCUGUGCCCACCUGAGGAAAGUCCCCGGACUGCCGGCAGAGAGUGCCUGGUGCUGCUGUGCCCCUGCCCGCCUCGUCCCACGACAACCCCUGCCAAGACGCCCUUGGGCCGAGCGGGUGCACGCGGGGCGGGCUCUCGUCACGACCACAGACACACAGGUAGUGCGCGGCACGCGCGCCAACAGAAUGGGGCUCACUCUCAGGCCAUC